CUAUAAGACUGGGAUAACUUCGGGAAACCGUAGCUAAUACCGGAUAAUAUUUUGAACCGCAUGGUUCAAAAGUGAAAGACGGUCUUGCUGUCACUUAUAGAUGGAUCCGCGCUGCAUUAGCUAGUUGGUAAGGUAACGGCUUACCAAGGCAACGAUGCAUAGCCGACCUGAGAGGGUGAUCGGCCACACUGGAACUGAGACACGGUCCAGACUCCUACGGGAGGCAGCAGUAGGGAAUCUUCCGCAAUGGGCGAAAGCCUGACGGAGCAACGCCGCGUGAGUGAUGAAGGUCUUCGGAUCGUAAAACUCUGUUAUUAGGGAAGAACAUAUGUGUAAGUAACUGUGCACAUCUUGACGGUACCUAAUCAGAAAGCCACGGCUAACUACGUGCCAGCAGCCGCGGUAAUACGUAGGUGGCAAGCGUUAUCCGGAAUUAUUGGGCGUAAAGCGCGCGUAGGCGGUUUUUUAAGUCUGAUGUGAAAGCCCACGGCUCAACCGUGGAGGGUCAUUGGAAACUGGAAAACUUGAGUGCAGAAGAGGAAAGUGGAAUUCCAUGUGUAGCGGUGAAAUGCGCAGAGAUAUGGAGGAACACCAGUGGCGAAGGCGACUUUCUGGUCUGUAACUGACGCUGAUGUGCGAAAGCGUGGGGAUCAAACAGGAUUAGAUACCCUGGUAGUCCACGCCGUAAACGAUGAGUGCUAAGUGUUAGGGGGUUUCCGCCCCUUAGUGCUGCAGCUAACGCAUUAAGCACUCCGCCUGGGGAGUACGACCGCAAGGUUGAAACUCAAAGGAAUUGACGGGGACCCGCACAAGCGGUGGAGCAUGUGGUUUAAUUCGAAGCAACGCGAAGAACCUUACCAAAUCUUGACAUCCUUUGACAACUCUAGAGAUAGAGCCUUCCCCUUCGGGGGACAAAGUGACAGGUGGUGCAUGGUUGUCGUCAGCUCGUGUCGUGAGAUGUUGGGUUAAGUCCCGCAACGAGCGCAACCCUUAAGCUUAGUUGCCAUCAUUAAGUUGGGCACUCUAAGUUGACUGCCGGUGACAAACCGGAGGAAGGUGGGGAUGACGUCAAAUCAUCAUGCCCCUUAUGAUUUGGGCUACACACGUGCUACAAUGGACAAUACAAAGGGCAGCGAAACCGCGAGGUCAAGCAAAUCCCAUAAAGUUGUUCUCAGUUCGGAUUGUAGUCUGCAACUCGACUACAUGAAGCUGGAAUCGCUAGUAAUCGUAGAUCAGCAUGCUACGGUGAAUACGUUCCCGGGUCUUGUACACACCGCCCGUCACACCACGAGAGUUUGUAACACCCGAAGCCGGUGGAGUAACCUUUUAGGAGCUAGCCGUCGAAGGUGGGACAAAUGAUUGGGGUGAAGUCGUAACAAGGUAGCCGUAUCGGAAGGUGCGGCUGGAUCACCUCCUUU
RNAcentral lists this ribosomal RNA (1418 nucleotides) under Staphylococcus aureus. Its description in RNAcentral is "bacterial SSU rRNA". It matches the Rfam family "Bacterial small subunit ribosomal RNA". Lineage: Bacteria; Bacillati; Bacillota; Bacilli; Caryophanales; Staphylococcaceae. The record is from RNAcentral.